Synchiropus splendidus (mandarinfish) is the source of this 4625-nucleotide RNA transcript. It is a transcript of the gene named family with sequence similarity 118 member B, with no coding region annotated. Lineage: Eukaryota; Metazoa; Chordata; Actinopteri; Syngnathiformes; Callionymidae. The record is from RefSeq and is a predicted model, not a curated record. The transcript is spliced from 7 exons.
ACUGUAGUGAAGUUUCAAUCAACGGUGUAAAUGUUUCGAGUGGCUCGGUAUUGGAUUAAGUACGGCGCCUUGUAAAUCGCUUCAGAGUAGUCGCUCGGUACGCGAAGGCAACACUGGCUUCUUUCACUGCUCCGCCGAACCAUAAUAUGAAGGUGCGCUGGAGUCGUCGCGGCAGUUGAGCGUUCGCGGAGCGUGCAGCGUGUUGAAGAGGGCGCCAACACGCAGGCGGGUGGUGGGCUUGACGUGUGUCCCAGUAUGACAGGUAGAAGCGCGUUAAAAGGCGAGUGAGAGUCUGGAAUCUGGCGCACUUGACCGGCUCUCUGACACACACACACGGAGUAGAAGAGUGUUAGCUAGCUGCAUGCUAGCGGCGAGAGCCCGCUGCUCCCUCCGACCAGUUCCCGGCGCUUGAGCUGACGACGAGUCCUCCACCGAGCUCGGACGUUACAGCGGCUGCGACAACAACAACAACAACAACAACUUUCUAAACCACUCCACCACUCCACUUCCCGAGGCUGCCGUGUUGACUUGUGACGGCUCUGCGCGACGUUCCUCGCCCGUGUGUGAAUGGCCUCUGCGGUGGCGAUGAAGACCGAGAAGCGGCCGGCAUCCGAUUCUCUGGAUGCGGAUUCCAACGCCAAGAAACCCAGGAAGCUCCUGCCCAGCCUCAAGACCAAGCGCGCCCCUGAGCUGGUGCUGGUGAUCGGCACCGGGGUCAGCUCGGCUGUGGCCCCUCAGGUCCCGGCUCUACGCUCCUGGAAAGGUCUCAUUCAGGCCUUGCUGGAUGCUGCCAAUGACUUUGACCUUUUAGAAGAGGAGGAGAGUCGUCGCUUCCAGAAGCACAUGCAGGAGGAUAAGAAUUUGGUACAUGUGGCCCAUGACCUCAUUCAGAAGCUUUCUCCGAGGACGGGCAACGUGCGCUCCACCUUCUUCAAAGACUGCCUGUAUGAGGUGUUUGACGAUUUGGAGAGCAAGAUGGAGAACGCCGGGAAGCAUCUGCUGCGCUCGGUGCUGCAGCUGAUGGAGAGCGGCGCCCUGGUCCUCACCACCAACUUCGACAACUUGCUGGAGAUCUACGCGGCCCACCAGGGCACCAAGCUGGAGUCGCUGGACUUGACAGACGAGAAGAAGGUGCUGGAGUGGGCUCAGGAGAAGCGCCGGCUGAGCGUCCUGCACAUCCACGGCGUCUACACCAACCCCUGCGGCAUCGUGCUGCACCCUGCUGGCUACCAGAAUGUACUGCGCAACACUGAAGUGAUGCGCGAGAUCCAGAAGCUUUACGAGACCAAGUCCUUCGUGUUCCUGGGCUGCGGGCGCACGGUGGACGACACCACCUUCCAGGCCCUCUUUCUGGAGGCGGUGAAGCACAAGUCGGACCUGGAGCACUUCAUGCUGGUGCGGCGCGAGGACGUGGGCGAGUUCAAGAAGCUGCGCGACAACAUGCUGGACAAGGGCAUCAAGGUCAUCUCUUAUGGCGACGAGUACGCGGACCUGCCCGAGUACUUCGAGAGACUGGCCAACGAGAUCUGCAACCGGGACGUCUCCACCAACGGCUGGGGUGAGGCCACAUCUCCACUCACCCGCUUAGAGGGCGGUGCAACCUUCCGGCCUCCGUGUGUGUGGUGACCCGCCCCGCUUCAGACAGGCCGCACACGGAGGUUUUGAUGUGAUAAAGUACAAGGCUCCCCUCAGAAUGGAGAGGAAGAUCAGAACGGCUGCAACACGCAGAAGAGCCUGCUCCAAGGUUAAGUCCCCACCUUCCUCCCGAGGCUUUGGUUUUUUAAGAAGCCUUUCCAGGGUUUUAAAGCGCCGACUAUCGCUCUGUUGCUUGCGGGUCAACGCGCACCUCCUCCUGGUGCCAUGACGUGCUGAAAUGUUCACUUCUGACUUUUUUUUAUCGGACCCCAACGCUGCACGCCGAGCAGCUGCAGGAGGGCCCAGCAUCUGUGACCCUGCAUCGCUUCCUUCACAGCCCAAGGGAAAUGGUCUCGGCCAACACUCAGCUCCUGAGUCCCGCUGGUGCUGGCCACUUCAGCCGCGUGGUCUCUUCACAUUCCUCACAGUCUCCAUGACACUCACCUGGCUGUCGAGGGGAAUGUGACUCUGCUGUGAUACGUUUCCUUUUCUGUUUAAAGCACGGUCUAGUUGGACUGUGCGGCCGGUUUCACUCAGGACCGGCUUCUCCAGCCAGUAGCAAUAACUCUGCCACUCCUGUGCUGAAAAUCUGAAGGAAAAAAAAGGUUUCCUUUGUACCUGUUUUUUUUUUUUUUGUAUUUUUGAAUAUUUGCAUGUUUUCUGAUAUAGUAUUUAUACAAGUACUAUUUUCAAAAUAAAGCUUUGGUAUUCCAGUGCUGACCUCGUGUUUCCAAGGCAACAUCCCAGUGACGUGGUGCGGAGCGUGUCGGCCACCCGCAGACCAGGAGGGACGUGCGUGGCCUCAGGCCUGGACCUGUGACACUAGACACUAGUGAUGGACUCGUGAGGCUUCAUCGAACCGUGUCCUCAUUUCCCAAUGGAUGGCACUAAAUGAGCGCCACCUACUGAGCUCAUGAGUUUCAUGAAGACUCCUCCUCCAGCGCUACUAAUAACUAACAAUACAUGUGAUUACGAUUUGAACAAUCAUGAACAUUUUUUUAAUUUAAUAUUUCAUUAUUUUCCCCCACAGAUUAAAAUAUGAAGCUACUGUUUUACCCCAUAAAAUACAUUUGGGCUUGAACAUAUUGGAAAAGUUUAAAAUAUUUUCAUAUGUCCAAUGUCGUAAUGCUGCGACACCGUGCCAGAUUCUUAAGGCUUGUGAAGCCAUUUCCUUUUCUGAAGCUUUAUUACAUUUGAUUUGUUUGUUUGCUGGUCUUAGGGAAUCCCUGCUAUUCUUUGGACAAAGUGCGAGCACUUCCUUCUCAGCGUGCUGGUGGAAUAGGCUUUGUUGUUCCACACUGCAGCUGCUGAGCUAAAACAAGGACACGGUUUCAUGAAGCUUCAAAUGUUCCACAUAGGCUGGCAUUUAUCUGCAGUUUCCUGAAGCACCAGCAAAGGUGAGUUGUAAUGACAAAGGUACGAUUAUAACAGCAGCUUUAUUUAGAAACAUCCUUAUAAAUUAGAGCGACUCUUCUGUAGAACUUCUUUACCACAAAUGAAAGGGUCUCACUUCUCCAUUGGCGAAGUGAAUCAAGGUUGAAAGCAAGAAUCCAACUCAAGAGUUUCAGCCUGAACAUUGAAAUAAGAAAGGUCCUCGUGAAUCUUGGUCAGCUCCUCGGGAUCUUCUCCAGACCACAGUUUGGAGAAGAUCCCUAACCCUAACCCUACCCCUAACCCAACUUCCAGCUGUUUCUAAAGCUGAUGCGCCUUGAACUGGACCACACACUUUCACCACAGAAUCAUGGGGGGAGGGAUCCUUGUGGGACCCUAACCCUAACCCUAACCCUAACCUUAACCCUAACCCUAACUCUUUAACCCAAACUCUAUCCCCCAACCCAUGUAUUAAAAAAAUAAAAAUAAAUAUAUAUAUAACAUGUAAACAUAUAAAAUAAAUAUAUACAUGUCUUUAUAAUAUAUAUAUGUUUUAACUAUAUUUCAAAUGUUUAUUUUUUUACACAUAUAACUUUUACUUUAAAUAAUAACAAUUAACUUCUUGUAAAAAAAAAAAAAAAAUUUUUUAAACAAAAAAUAUAAAAUAAAACAUUGUAUUUUUUCAGAAAAAUACAACCCCUAACCCUAACCUUAACCAUAACCCUAACCCUAACCCUAACAGUAACCCUAAACCUAACCCUAACAGUAACCCUAACCCUAACCCUAACCCUAACCCUAACACUAAACCUAACCCUAACCCUAACUCAACUAUUUAAAUAAACUACUAUAUAAACUACUAUUUAUUUACACUUUUACUUAAAAUAAUAACAAAAAACCUCUUACAUAAUAUAUACAUUAAAAAAUAUAUAUACUUUUUACACAAAAAAAAAAAAAAUUUUAUAUAAAAACUAUAAAUUGUUUUGUUUUAUUUUAAUGUAUAUACUUUUAUUUUAGACAUACCCUAACCCUAACCCUAACCUUAACCCUAACCCUAACUCUUUAACCCAAACUCUAUCCCCCAACCCAUGUAUUAAAAAAAUAAAUAUAAAUAUAUAUAUAACAUAUAAACAUAUAAAAUAAAUAUAUACAUGUCUUUAUAAUAUAUAUAUGUUUUAACUAUAUUUCAAAUGUUUAUUUUUUUACACAUAUAACUUUUACUUUAAAUAAUAACAAUUAACAUCUUGUAAAAAAAAAAAAAAAAAAUUUUUAAAACAAAAAAUAUAAAAUAAAACAUUGUAUUUUUUCAGAAAAAUACAACCCCUAACCCUAACCUUAACCAUAACCCUAACAGUAACCCUAAACCUAACCCUAACAGUAACCCUAACCCUAACCCUAACCCUAACCCUAACCCUAACCCUAACUCAAAACCGAACCCUAACCCUAACCCUAACCGUAACCCUAACCCUAAACCUAACCCUAACCCUAACAGUAACCCUAACCCUAACAGUAACCCUAACCCUAACCCUAACCCUAACAGUAACCCUAACCCUAACCCUAACCCUAACAGUAACCCUCACCCUAACCCUAACCCUAACCCUAACUCAAACUGAAAACCGAAC